UUAUAUGUGCUCUGUGCAAGCUCUUAUUUUGCAGAAAAAUUCAGAAAAAUAAACAAGACCUCAGUUAGGCACAAAACCAGCUGAGAUGACGAAGCAACAGUAAGGCCAUAGAGCCCGAAUUACAAAGAAGACUCCGGGAUCCCCUAAGAACUCCCGGGUAACCAAACAAGACCGGGAUCCCCUAAGAACUCCCGGGUAACCAAAGAAGACUCCGGGAUCCCCUAAGAACUCCCGGGUAACCAAAGAAGAC
Molecule: long non-coding RNA, 250 nt
Filed under: Manihot esculenta (cassava)
Lineage: Eukaryota; Viridiplantae; Streptophyta; Magnoliopsida; Malpighiales; Euphorbiaceae
Description: long non-coding RNA (MESC_LNC008328)
Source: RNAcentral